GGGCUUCCUACUUUAACCAUAGUCAAGUUCAAGAAUGUCAUGUCAUCCGUUCCAUUGCACGAUGCUGAGUUUCUCCUCUUACAACCUACCUUGUCUCCCAUGUCAUCAUUGUAGAAUCCAGGGGGGUGCAGUAGGAAAAGUGAUGUGUGUGGUGAGGAUGCUUUAAGAGUGCCAUUGUUCUGAGAUUGAAAGGGAUGAAAGUUGGGAACCCUGAUGAUCAAUUUAAUGCUGAGAAUGAUCUUGAAGAAGAGUAUGAGGGUGGUUGUGAUGUGCAUAUUAGAGUGACAUUUUCUGAUAUAGAAUCCAGUGAUCAAAGUUCAAAUGACUAACUUCUGCUUCCUAAUCAUUCAUCUCCAUUUCAUCUUACUGGAAAUUGCUAUGUUGAUCCAACCACUAUUAGUUAUAAUGUUCCAUUUAAACAUGGUGCGGAAAUUGAAUUAAGUUGAGAUUCAUCACUAGAGUCAAUUUGUUCUUCUUUGUUGGAUUGCAAAGACCGGCCAAACUCAACUUGUAAUACUACUACUGAUUAAAAGCCAAAUAUGAAAUGCACGGUAUACAUACAUGCAUUUUAUACUUUGACUUUUAAUAUUUCUUUUAUUUAAAUAUAAAUUCGUAACAAAAAAGCAUUCGUAGAAUGUUCUGCAAGCUUUCUACACACAAGAGUUUAAGAAAAAAGUGUGCGACCAUGCGAUCUUGGUUAUGACACCGAAGGUUUUUAAAAAUAUAUGCAACUAUAAUACAAUGUGAUUACAAUUGACGUUGUAUCAGCGACUGCAACCACAAUUUAAACAUUUUCACA
Long non-coding RNA from Cicer arietinum (chickpea), 799 nucleotides. RefSeq lists it as uncharacterized. NCBI's taxonomy places the organism in Eukaryota, Viridiplantae, Streptophyta, Magnoliopsida, Fabales, Fabaceae. The record is from RefSeq and is a predicted model, not a curated record.